RNAcentral lists this transfer RNA (90 nucleotides) under Candidatus Tokpelaia sp. JSC085. RNAcentral's name for it is "tRNA-Ser". It matches the Rfam family "tRNA". From Rfam's summary of the family: Transfer RNA (tRNA) molecules are approximately 80 nucleotides in length. The record is from RNAcentral. Lineage: Bacteria; Pseudomonadati; Pseudomonadota; Alphaproteobacteria; Hyphomicrobiales.
GGAGGGGUGGCCGAGUGGUUGAAGGCGCGCGCUUGGAAAGCGUGUAUGCGGGAAGCCGUAUCGUGGGUUCGAAUCCCAUCUCCUCCGCCA